GACGAACCGUGCGAACGUUAUUCGGAAUCACUGGGCUUAAAGCGCGUGUAGGCGGGCCGGCACGUCGGUCGCUGAAAUCCCCCGGCUCAACCGGGGAAGGGGCGCCGAUACGACCGGCCUGGAGGGACGUAGGGGGGGCUGGAACUUCCGGUGGAGCGGUGAAAUGCGUUGAUAUCGAUAGGAACUCCGGUGGCGAAGGCGGCACACUGGACCACAACUGACGCUGAGGCGCGAAAGCCAGGGGAGCAAACGGG
RNAcentral lists this ribosomal RNA (254 nucleotides) under uncultured bacterium. Its description in RNAcentral is "partial 16S ribosomal RNA". It matches the Rfam family "Bacterial small subunit ribosomal RNA", at positions 524 to 776 of the family's 1533-position model. The record is from RNAcentral.